CUGCUAGUUCCGUCAUCUUCACCAACCAUUCUUCCACUGUGCAGAAAGGGAAGAACAUGGACAUUGUGAUGUUCUGGUAUGCCACAUAUUGAGUGGGGCUGGAGAAUGACCACGAGCACCAUCCUGGGCAAGUGUGGUGGCCAUCUGUUAUGCUUGCCUAUGGUUUGGUUGACACUCCACCAGACACCAUGGAACACCAAGGCACAGGAUAUGGCUGGCCCUGCAGCAGUGAUCCCUGAAGCCAGGGAGAAAAAUGAAAGUCCAGGAUGGGGAACCUGAUGUUCAGUGGUACUUGUGAAAGGAUCUGGUUGCACUUGUCAACCACAAGUCAACUAUGAGCCAGCAGACGAUGCAGCUGCUAAAAAAGGCAAAUGCUCUUCUCGGGGGGCAUGAACAGGAACACAAAGUCCAAAUCCCAGGAGGUAAUCUGGACCACCGGUGAUCCCAUUUGGAGUGCUGUAUCCAGUUCUGGCCAUUGCAUUUUUCAAAGGAUAGUAGCAAAUUGGAGGGGGUUCCUAGGGGUUGACCAAGAGGGUGGAGGUUGGAAACCAAAAGCUAUGAGGAAGAGUUAAAGGAGCUGUGCAUGUUUAGCCUUGCCCAGAAAAGACGAUUAAGGAGAGAGAUGAUAGCAAUCUUAAAUUUCUGAAAUGUUAUCACACGGAAGAAGGAGUAGAUUUAUUCUCUAUUGUGCCAGAGGGUGGGACCAGAAACAAGGGGUUAAGAUUAUAAAGGUUGGAUACCAGGAGGAAACUUAUGAUUUUUUGAGCUGGCAUGAAGUGGUGAGUUUUCCUUUGCUGAAGAUCUUCAAACGGGUGGGAUAGUCAUCUGCCAGAGGUCCUGCAGUGACUUCUACACUGAGGAGGAGUUUGGACUAAAUGGCAUCUGUGAUUAUCCUAUAAAAGAAGUCCAGGUGGCCCAUGGAAAAGACACAUAAUAUUUGGAUAAUUUCUCAUAGGGGUGAGCUCUCAUUCAUAGCUGGAAGUUGUGGGACUAAGCUUGGUGUCCAUUAAAUCCAGCUCUCAUUCCACAGGCAGGUUUGCACUGUUCAGACCAAGGCUCAGCUCUGAUGAUCCUGAGUAGUUAUUAUCUGAUGUUUGCUUGUGUUCUUCUUGACCUUAAUCCAAACCUUCCCUACAGUUUCCAGAAUUUCUAAACCUGAGGUUCAUACAAGAAGUCAGUUGUGUGAGGUGAAAGCAGGGAAAAGCCCACUCAAAAGAUAGUUGAAUCUGAGCUGCUAAACUGUGAAUUGCUCAGCUUUGGAAAUGUUUGGAUAAUUUAAUAUAUCAAUUGAAAAAUGGCAUAAAUACAAUUUGGUCAGUAGUUGUUCUUGAAAAAAUAUCAGAUAAAAUUCAUACUUUGAAGAAACAGGAUGGCAAGCUGUCAUUCCACAGGAUCCAAAGGGUUUAUAUUUGGUUUAUAAAUGAUAUCAACCCCCAGGUUAUGUGAAAUACAUAAUAUGAUCUGUGAUGAUGCUAAACUGUCAUUAAAACUUUAAUAAAUUUACUUUUUAAAAAACCCAAGCCCAGCCAGAGGUGGCAGGAAGGAGGACCUUGGACAGCUCCAAGCAGGCCCUGCUCACCGACUCGCCUGCCAGAUGCCGCUCAUCUGAGCACGUGGCCUGCGCAAUGCCCAGGGAUGCCUCGGACACAGGGGCUGAAAUUUUACUUAUUUAACUGAUUUAUUAUGUUAGUGCCAAAGAGUUGCCUGUUGUUUACCACCGGACUCAGGUCAAUAAAAACGCUAUGCCUAGGCAAACUCUCCAUACCUGGCUCAAGGGCGGUGCCCUCGUGAGGGGCUGCAGGCUGUGCCCUGCUUGGCUCCUUGGCAGUCAGGAGCAGCAACCGCCAUCCUUCCUCACCUCAGGAGGAUCCUGUCCUGCUUCAACAAUCAUAAGAGGCCUUUUCUUCCUGCAGGAGAAGCCUGCAGAUUGCAAGGAGCUUUGGAUAGGUCCCUGCAGGGGAAAUAGGCUGAACCCAUGGGAAAUGGGCCCUUACCCCUUUCAGGCUCACGCCUCACUUCCUGCAUCCCCACGCAACUUCCAGUCUGCCCUGAGACAAGCAGAGCAAGGAAAGGCGGAGAGAAGGCGCUUCCGCCUGCAGCCGGAAGACAGAGGGAAGUGCGGCUGCCUUCAGCCCGCUGCUUUUUGGCCUGUCCAGCAAGGGCAGAGGAGUGGCGGGCAGGCUGCCACCAUCCACCAGCUCAGAGUUGCCCUCCUCUGGCCUCCAUGUGUUUGCUAAAACCCUAGGGACGCCUUCAGACCCUCUUCCCUCCGUCUGCAGCUGUGGACCUCUUAGCUCCUCUUUCAGCAGUUCCUUUUAUUUCCAGAAGCAGCUGAGGGACGACAGGGCAAAACGGCCAUUGCUGUUGCCCCAGAUAAUGAAUGCCAAUUCUCCAUAAACACCGGCCAUAGCAGCCACUGAGAGCUGAGAAUGGCACUGCUGACUACUACUGCCGCUCCUCUAGCUCUGCAGAUAAGCAGCAAAAGAUGCUUGGAGCCCCAACUUCCCAGCACCUCCUGUGCCAAAUGCCUGCAAUCCGGCGGUCCCUGCUGUGGACCCAACUGGAGGCAGAGUUCUGCUUCACGCAGGGCAGGCAAGGGCAGGGCUGCUUUUCUCAGGCCAAGGGCCAGAGAAAGAUCCUAUGAGAGAACAGAAAAGCUUCCUCCUCCUCGCCCUCCCCUGAAGACCCCAGGCAAAGUUGGAAAGGGCAGGAAUGUUGGGGUGCCAGGAGGCAGGGAAUAGUUCCUUAAAGCUCUGCCACCCUCCAGACAAUCCCAUCUACGAAUGCUGUUUUCUGGCUGGGGUGAGCCCUGGCUUUACUUCAGGUGAAACUUUAUUUAUAUUAGUGGCAUGAGAUUAAAACUAAAUACUUGGGAAAGGAGCUUAACUAGUUACCUCCUAAUUCUCUUCCAUACUUGUGGUUUUGCUGUUCAUUGUUUACUACUAGCAUCCCCAAUUUUUAUGAAUUGAAUAUAAUGAGUUUAAAAUAAAACAAU
Molecule: non-coding RNA, 2995 nt
Organism: Python bivittatus (Burmese python)
Lineage: Eukaryota; Metazoa; Chordata; Lepidosauria; Squamata; Pythonidae
Source: RefSeq, a predicted model, not a curated record